Non-coding RNA from Heterocephalus glaber (naked mole-rat), 1419 nucleotides. The record is from RefSeq and is a predicted model, not a curated record. NCBI's taxonomy places the organism in Eukaryota, Metazoa, Chordata, Mammalia, Rodentia, Bathyergidae.
CUCCCCAUGCCAUUGAGCCCUUGUUGAAUAGCUCACCUAGCAAAUGGCUGUCUAAUGCCAGACUGUUACAAUAUCAAGGACUCUUAUUAAAACAGCCACACAUUAAGUUUGCCACCACCGCUGGCCUCAAUCUGGCUACUCUACUCCCAGAAUCUGACAAAUGCCCAUCUAUGAUUGCCUCGAGACUCUUGAAAACUCAAGGGGAGGACGUCCGGACUUGACGGACCAGGCCCUCCCCAGUGCAGAGAUAACGUUCUAUACUGAUGGGUGCAGUUUCGUUCGUGAUGGUGUACGGUAUGCUGGAGUGGCGGUGGUCAACCAGGACCAACAGGUGGAAUGGGAGCAGGGGCUACCUCAAGGGACAUCAGCACAGAGGGCUGAGCUGAUUGUUUUAACUAAGGCUCUGGAAUUGGGAAAAGGAAAAAGGAUAAAUAUAUUCACUGAUAGCCGUUAUGCUUUUGCUACCGCCCACAUACACGGGGAAAUUUAUCAAAAUAGAGGACUGUUGACCUCUAAAGGAAAGGAAAUUAAAAAUAAGACUGAGAUAUUGGCACUGCUACAAGCCAUCUGGUUUUCCCAAGAGGUUGCCAUCAUCCAUUGCCGUGGGCACCAAAAGGGGUCAAGCCCCGAGGUGAUUGGUAAUAAUGCUGCUGAUCAGGCAGCAAGACAAGCUGCCCAAAAUCAGUGGGGAAGCAAAUGGUUCUGCUUCCCACACCAGUACUCCCAGAAAAACCUGAAUAUACAGACAAGGAGAUAAUGGAAAUAAACAGGAGACGCUGGACUCGAGAAAGACAUGGGUGGUGAACCACUAAGGAAGGAAAAGUGGUGCUCCCAGCCGCUGUAGCAGACACGUUGCUGCGAGAACUACAUGAGUCUACCCACCUCGGUGAGAAAAGGAUGAUGGCUGCCUUACAACCCCAUUUCAUCAGCCAGGGAUUAGCCCAAAAGGCCCAGGACAUGGUGAGACGAUGCCCCACCUGCCUCAAGGUUUGAUUCCAAGACCCUGGAACCUCGUUGGAAGGGACCGGUUCCUGCUGUCCUGUCAACUCCCUUGGCAGUGAAGGUGGCUGGACAUUCUGCCUGGAUACAUCGCAACCAUCUAAAAGCAGGACCCUCCACAGAUGUCAAAAAGGACAAAUGGAAGGUUAUCAGCCAACCAGGUGGCCAAAAGCUAAGACUGGAAUGGGUUGGAGAUGUUUCACCUUAAUGAUAAUAUUCUCUGGGACACUGGCAUUAUUGUCCCCAAGAGGACUAGAUCACACAAAAAAUGUAUGGAUUCAAUUGGCAAACUUGCUUAACUUGUCUGAAUUCUGCUUAAAUGUUGAUGUAAAUUUCCGUUAUGUGCUGGGAAGCUGUCUCAUUCCAGUAUGCACCUCUUUAAAAUUAAUACGACCCUAUACCCUAUUUAAGGACAUCCCA